Long non-coding RNA from Amphiprion ocellaris (clown anemonefish), 665 nucleotides. The record is from Ensembl. Lineage: Eukaryota; Metazoa; Chordata; Actinopteri; Pomacentridae.
CUUUCUCUUCAGUGCCAGAAGCUGAAACUCCUCUUGCGACUCCUGCGACUCUUGCGACUCCUGCGACUCCUGCGACUCCACCUCCUCCUCCCACUGUGAGCUCGCUGCUGGGGGGCAGGAACGUGACGGUGGUGGGAAAGAGGCUGUGCUGGUCCGACGCUCUGUUCUACUGCAGGCGUCAUCACUGGGAUCUGCUCAGCCUUCACAAUCAGCAGGAGCAAAGUGAGGUGGAGCAGCUGCUGGGUCGCGUUUCCUUCCCCCUCACAGGCUACGUCUGGCUGGGAUUGCACAGAUACAUAAUGGGAAAGAGCUGGUACUGGAUGUCUGGAGACUCCAUGGGUUUCACCAAUUGGCCCACAGACUUCGUCCCUCAACGUUCGUCCAACUCCUGUGGAGGCAUGGCCACCAGGGAGAGCUUCCUGUGGAAGGAUCCGCCCUGUCAGGAGCUCCUCAACUUCAUCUGCCAGUCAGGUGCUGAGGACGGUGCACAAAGAGUGUAUUACUACAGCACCAGGACAGCCACAAGUCCAUAGCAAAGGCGGAGGGUAGUGUAUAUGCUGGGAUGCAUAUUUAGUUAGAUAAAAUAGUUUUAAACAUGGAUGGAUUUCACUUCAGACCAUGUUUUUGGGUCAUAACAGAAUAGGAGGACAUUUAGGCUUUGAAAC